RNAcentral lists this ribosomal RNA (492 nucleotides) under uncultured bacterium. RNAcentral describes it as "partial 16S ribosomal RNA". It matches the Rfam family "Bacterial small subunit ribosomal RNA", at positions 29 to 507 of the family's 1533-position model. The record is from RNAcentral.
AGUGAACGCUGGCGGUAGGCCUAACACAUGCAAGUCGAACGGCCGCACAGUAAGCGUUUGCUCUUACGGUUGGCGAGUGGCGGACGGGUGAGGAAUACAUCGGAAUCUACUUUUUCUUGGGUGAUAACGUAGGGAAACUUCCGCUACUACCUCAUGUGACCUACCGGUUAAAUCAGUGGUUCUUCGCACCUUUCCUGUUUCUAUGAGCCGAUUUCGCAUUAGCUAGUUGGUGUGGUAACGUCCCACCAAGGCAACGAUCCGUAGCUGGUCUGAGAGGAUGAUCAGCCACACUGGAACUGAGACACGGUCCAGACUCCUACGGGAGGCAGCAGUAGGGAAUAUUGGGCAAUGGGCGAAAGCCUGACCGAGCAAUGCCGCGUGAGUGAAGAAGGUCUUCGGAUUGUAAAGCUCUGUUGUUAGGAAAGAAAAGAAGUAGAAGUAUACAUGGAUGUUUUGACGGUACCCAAAGAGAAAGCAACGGCUAACUACGUG